UGCUACGUCCCCUCCUCCAUGUCUAGAGAGGUCCUGACUUGCUUUCCUUAACCCAUGAAUCUGCUGCCUAACCUCCAUCCUUCCAGCUGCAAAGUCAGCUCCUCCUCUGUGCAGGGAGUGGGAGCAUCACGGAAGACAAAACCCAAUCAGAGCUUCCUCCAGGGAGGUGACUAAGGUCACUUGCACCUGAUCCUGCCUCCAAAAAAGAGAUUCCCUCCCCCACUUAUACGUGUGAUGUCUCUCCAGGAGCAAAGCCUCCCUCCCAUUCUCCCUUCAUCCUUUUCUCUACUGGCUGAGUCCCUCCUCCUCUCCCCCUGAAAAACGGGAAGUCCCUCCGACAGUCUAACUUCCAUCCCUCCAGCUGCAACAUCAUCCUGUAGAUCGCGAGCGCUCCCUGCCCGCCCCUUCUGCCUUCCCUCCCUCCCUCCCUACUCCAAGUCUUCGGCUUCUCAUCCCCAGGACGAUGUCCUACUUCGCUCGUCCUUGCUCUCGCGGCUGCCGCCGCCGGGAACCGAUGCAGAGAAGGCAGCGGGUCGCGUGAUCUUCCCGAGCCCCCCGCGUUCCCAGCCUGGGGGCAGGGGCGGCUUCGAGGAAGGGCGGGGCGGGGGCGGGGGGAAAGAAAGGGGGUUUUGUGUGGCGCCCAGCGGCCCGGCGCCCUCUUCCGAGCGUCUUGCGGGCCCAGCCUCUCCUCGCGCCCGCGCAGUCCCCGCCGCAGUCUCGGUUGCAGCUGCAGGACCGAGCCGUGGACCCAGAAGAGACCCCCAGAGGAGGGGGCAAACUUCGCGGUGCCUCACCCCCACCCCGGUCCUCAGUUGCCUGCCGGUAGUCCCUCCCUCAUCCUGCAGCAUGGCCCCACUGUUCCUGCCCCUCCUGGCAACCCUGGUUCUGGCCUGGUACUUGACUUGGUUUCACUGGGGACUCAGUUUCAACCCUAUCCCUCUCUGAGCCCUUUCUCAAUGUCCCACCCCACCCAUCCAUUAUGAGAGUGUAAUAAGUGCCUUGAGAUCUUCAGAGGAAUAGUCUGAGUUCUCAGAGCUUCUGAUGGCCAAGGGCAGAUGGGAAAUGGUCCCUCUCAUUUAUUCUCACACAUCCCCCUUAGCCUGGUGCUGGAGUUGGGGGAGGAAGAGGCUGGAUGGAGUCCAGACUAGCAGAGACAGGGGCUUUGUCCCAGCUGGUUUCUGAGCCAGGAGAUCCGGUGGGAAAGCCCGUGCCAGGCAGAAAGGAAAGGCUGGGAAGGAGGGAGAAGGCAGCCAAGGAGGAGGGGGUGGAGGAUGCUGGGGGCUAAAGAGAAGAGUUUCCUUAUAAGUAAUGGUGCAGUGUAGAGGGGGGAGGUCAAGGAGGGGUUAGACUGGAGAGAGCUGUACAUUGCCUGGGUUUAGUCUAGGAAGUCUUCCUGGAGGAAGCUAGGGAGGAAGGUAUAGGGAGGAAAAGUUGGAUAGGUAUUGUGGGAGGAGGAGGGUCCAAACAAGUCUGGCCCUGGGAGGACAGAGGGGACUCUAAGCAUAAUAGCAUCUACCAUUAUGCUAUAUGCCAUAAGCACUUGUUGAGCUCUUACUGUAUGCAGGGUUUAUUUGUUUCUGUUGUUUUUCUUUUUUGAUGGAAUGCACUCUCAAAGCACAUAGCCUCAUCACAACCUGUGAAGUGGUAGUAAUGGUGCUCCUUUACAAGUAAGAAAAUAAAGGCUUAAUGAGAGAAUAAAGAACUUGCCUGAAGUCACAUGGUGAGCUGACAGCACCCAGGUCUUGGUUCUGAAUAAGAAUCCCCUGGGGGGAGACAGGGAUCAGAAGGAGUGUUAAUAAAUAAUGAGGUGGGGACAGUGGGCUCCUGGAGUCAGGAUAUGUAUGAUCCAUGUGGAUCCGGUGGGGAGUCAGAAGUCCAUCCUGAGGUCUAA
This is a long non-coding RNA of Bos grunniens (domestic yak), 1891 nucleotides long. The record is from Ensembl. Lineage: Eukaryota; Metazoa; Chordata; Mammalia; Artiodactyla; Bovidae.